Paramormyrops kingsleyae is the source of this 165-nucleotide small nuclear RNA. Its record names the gene U1. It matches the Rfam family "U1 spliceosomal RNA". Rfam says of the family: U1 is a small nuclear RNA (snRNA) component of the spliceosome (involved in pre-mRNA splicing). Its 5' end forms complementary base pairs with the 5' splice junction, thus defining the 5' donor site of an intron. There are significant differences in sequence and secondary structure between metazoan and yeast U1 snRNAs, the latter being much longer (568 nucleotides as compared to 164 nucleotides in human). The record is from Ensembl. Lineage: Eukaryota; Metazoa; Chordata; Actinopteri; Osteoglossiformes; Mormyridae.
AUGCUUACCUGGCAGGGGAGAUACCAUGAUCACCUAGCCUGCUCACCGAGGGUGAGGCCCAGCCAUUCCACUGCGGCUCUGCUGACCCCUGCAAAUUGCCCAGAUGUGGGAAUCUCAAAUGCAUCAUUUCUGGUGGCAGGGUACUGUGUUCGCAAUAUCCCCUGA